This 440-nucleotide ribosomal RNA is filed under the name uncultured bacterium. Its description in RNAcentral is "partial 16S ribosomal RNA". It matches the Rfam family "Bacterial small subunit ribosomal RNA", at positions 338 to 795 of the family's 1533-position model. The record is from RNAcentral.
CCUACGGGGGGCAGCAGUAGGGAAUAUUGCUCAAUGGGGGAAACCCUGAAGCAGCAACGCCGCGUGGAGGAUGAAGGUUUUAGGAUUGUAAACUCCUUUUGUGAGAGAAGAUAAUGACGGUACCUGACGAAUAAGCACCGGCUAACUCCGUGCCAGCAGCCGCGGUAAUACGGAGGGUGCAAGCGUUAUACGGAUUGACUGGGCGUAAAGAGUGCGCAGGCGGGCUGGUAAGUCAGGAGUGAAAUGCUGGAGCUUAACUACGGAACUGCAUUUGAAACUGUGCGUCUAGAGUGUGGGAGAGGUAGGUGGAAUUCUUGGUGUAGGGGUAAAAUCCGUAGAUAUCAAGAGGAAUACUAGUUGCGAAGGCGACCUACUGGAACAUAACUGACGCUGAUGCACGAAAGCGUGGGGAGCAAACAGGAUUAGAUACCCCAGUAGUC